RNAcentral lists this unclassified non-coding RNA (331 nucleotides) under soil metagenome. RNAcentral's name for it is "partial contains 5.8S ribosomal RNA, internal transcribed spacer 2, and large subunit ribosomal RNA". The stretch from base 1 to 120 matches the Rfam family "5.8S ribosomal RNA", at positions 35 to 154 of the family's 154-position model. The record is from RNAcentral.
GAUGAAGAACGCAGCGAAAUGCGAUAAGUAAUGUGAAUUGCAGAAUUCAGUGAAUCAUCGAAUCUUUGAACGCACAUUGCGCCCCCUGGUAUUCCGGGGGGCAUGCCUGUUCGAGCGUCAUUUCACCACUCAAGCCUCGCUUGGUAUUGGGCAACGCGAUCCGCCGCGUGCCUCAAAUCGACCGGCUGGGUCUUCUGUCCCCUAAGCGUUGUGGAAACUAUUCGCUAAAGGGUGUUCGGGAGGCUACGCCGUAAAACAACCCCAUUUCUAAGGUUGACCUCGGAUCAGGUAGGGAUACCCGCUGAACUUAAGCAUAUCAAUAAGCGGAGGA